AGGGNGCAAGCGUUACUCGGAAUUACUGGGCGUAAAGCGUGCGUAGGNGGUUGUUUAAGUCUGUCGUGAAAGCCCUGGGCUCAACCUGGGAAUUGCGAUGGAAACUGGGCGACUAGAGUGUGGCAGAGGGUAGUGGAAUUCCUGGUGUAGCAGUGAAAUGCGUAGAGAUCAGGAGGAACAUCCGUGGCGAAGGCGACUGCCUGGGCCAACACUGACACUGAGGCACGAAAGCGUGGGGAGCAAACAGGAUUAGAUACCCUGGUAGUCCACGCCCUAAACGAUGCGAACUGGAUGUUGGGUGCAAUUUGGCACGCAGUAUCGAAGCUAACGCGUUAAGUUCGCCGCCUGGGGAGUACGGUCGCAAGACU
This 368-nucleotide ribosomal RNA is filed under the name uncultured bacterium. RNAcentral's name for it is "bacterial SSU rRNA". It matches the Rfam family "Bacterial small subunit ribosomal RNA", at positions 529 to 895 of the family's 1533-position model. The record is from RNAcentral.